RNAcentral lists this ribosomal RNA (254 nucleotides) under uncultured bacterium. Its description in RNAcentral is "partial 16S ribosomal RNA". It matches the Rfam family "Bacterial small subunit ribosomal RNA", at positions 524 to 776 of the family's 1533-position model. The record is from RNAcentral.
UACGUAGGGGGCAAGCGUUGUCCGGAUUUAUUGGGCGUAAAGAGCGUGUAGGCGGCUUUACAGGUCCGUUGUGAAAACUCGGAGGCUCAACCUCGAGACGCCGGUGGAAACCGUAAAGCUAGAGUCCGGAAGAGGAGAGUGGAAUUCCUGGUGUAGCGGUGAAAUGCGCAGAUAUCAGGAGGAACACCCGUGGCGAAGGCAGCUCGCUGGGACGGUACUGACGCUGAGACGCGAAAGCGUGGGGAGCAAACAGG